ACCUGCCGAUAACUCGGGGAUAGCCUUUCGAAAGAAAGAUUAAUACCCGAUGGCAUAAUUAGACCGCAUGGUCUUAUUAUUAAAGAAUUUCGGUUAUCGAUGGGGAUGCGUUCCAUUAGGCAGUUGGUGAGGUAACGGCUCACCAAACCUUCGAUGGAUAGGGGUUCUGAGAGGAAGGUCCCCCACAUUGGAACUGAGACACGGUCCAA
Molecule: ribosomal RNA, 209 nt
Filed under: uncultured bacterium
Lineage: Bacteria
Description: partial 16S ribosomal RNA
Rfam family: Bacterial small subunit ribosomal RNA
Source: RNAcentral